Molecule: long non-coding RNA, 874 nt
Organism: Bombus pyrosoma
Lineage: Eukaryota; Metazoa; Arthropoda; Insecta; Hymenoptera; Apidae
Exons: 4
Source: RefSeq, a predicted model, not a curated record
GAUAAAGUAAUUUGGAAAAGGACAAACUCCGAUAGUACUUGGUCCCAUGGGUGGCUGCUUAGUAAUGCCAUAUUAUAUAAGCGAUUUACUAACACCUGCAACAUUUCGAUGCGAAACUUGGAUAUUGGGCCAGCGCACAAGGAAAACUACCGAGAGGAAGUUUGAAGCGUGUAAUUUUAAGUUUUGUUUCUUGCAUGCCGAUUAAAAUUUAUCUGAAUAAUCGAUGGUACGAUCAUUUUAACAGUGUUGGUAAUAAAACAACGUUUUUCUGCAAUUAAGAAAAGGAUGUUGGCAUAAAAGAUUCAUGAGGCACGGCUUAUGGCAAGAAAUAAUGCUGCUUACUGUUGUGUUGGCGGAUUGUCAGUCGCAAAAUAACGUUGCUAUGCUGUAGUUGAAAUAAAUCAAUGCGACUUACGCGCGGAAUGCAACAAUGUGUUGAGAUAAAGAGAAACUGGAGCACGAAACGCGAAUUAAGAGAAACUGCAGAGUGAAUGAAGAACCUGUUAUUCUCUUUAUUUAUGGGCAUUCCAGAUCUUGCAACCUAAUGAAAUUCAAUGGAAAAAUAGACCUGGGGCUACCCUUUCCAUGGGUUGUUGUCGAAGGGACAUUACGUGCUGCAUGGUAAUGACCCUCCCUAUUGCUCUCACGUUGGCAGUGCGUAGUUGGCGAUAGACUGAAGGGGACGCGUGUGUUUGGAAACAACGAAAAAUCGCCUAGAAGGCGAUACUUCUUCAGGCAAUAGAAAUUGGACGUUAUCGAAUACAUGGCCGGGUCAACUGGUUCAUCCAACAAGUUUGUUGCACGUAACGAUAAAUCGAUUUUCUCACGUGUUAGAAUAAUCCGAUCACCGGAUUUAUCGGAUAAAGAAACGGUA